UACAGAGGGUGCAAGCGUUAAUCGGAAUUGCUGGGCGUAAAGCGCACGUAGGCGGUUUUUUAAGUCAGAUGUGAAAGCCCCGGGCUCAACCUGGGAAUUGCAUUUGAAACUGGGAAACUAGAGUGUGUGAGAGGGGGGUAGAAUUCCAAGUGUAGCGGUGAAAUGCGUAGAGAUUUGGAGGAAUACCAGUGGCGAAGGCGGCCCCCUGGCACAACACUGACGCUCAGGUGCGAAAGCGUGGGGAGCAAACAGG
This 253-nucleotide ribosomal RNA is filed under the name uncultured bacterium. Its description in RNAcentral is "partial 16S ribosomal RNA". It matches the Rfam family "Bacterial small subunit ribosomal RNA", at positions 524 to 776 of the family's 1533-position model. The record is from RNAcentral.